RNAcentral lists this transfer RNA (58 nucleotides) under Uromastyx nigriventris (Moroccan spiny-tailed lizard). Its description in RNAcentral is "tRNA-Ser". Lineage: Eukaryota; Metazoa; Chordata; Lepidosauria; Squamata; Agamidae. The record is from RNAcentral.
GAAGGGUUCCAAAGGAUUGCUACUCCUUAAACCCGAGAUUUGAACCUCGGACCCAUCA